Rattus norvegicus (Norway rat) is the source of this 2388-nucleotide long non-coding RNA. RefSeq lists it as uncharacterized. NCBI's taxonomy places the organism in Eukaryota, Metazoa, Chordata, Mammalia, Rodentia, Muridae. The record is from RefSeq and is a predicted model, not a curated record.
UUAAAGACAGUUUCCUGAAUUCUAGACUGGCUUCAAUUCACUGUGGAGCAGAGGAAGGCUUUAGAGUAUUCCUGCCUCCACCUCUGAGUGUUGGAAUUGUGGGUGUUCACUGCCCGGCCAGUGUUCCUCCUGUUCUCCUUUACAGUGUUCCUGGAGACCCAGAAGUGUUCAGCCUUCAGCGUAGGUGUGGGGAGGCAUGCAUGGUCCUUACCCUCAUGGCCCACAGGCUGCCUAGUAACACAGUUAGAGGCCACCAGAGGGAAGUGCACAUGGGGCACAGUGCACACACUUUUAAUCCCAGCUCUCAGGAGGCAGAGGCAGAUGGAUCCCUGAAUCCGAGGCCAGUCUGGUCUAUACAGUGAGUUCUAAGACAGUGAGGACUGUGUAGACCUUAAUUGAAAAACAAGAGAGAAGGCAGCGUAUGUGCAGCUAGGGAGGAGGCAGGAUGCCACAGAGUCUGGAGUACACUGUGGAGGCCCCAUGCCCCGGGCCAUGUCUGAAGUCUGAGUGCCAGCCAGCACAUGGUGAGCAGGGCAGCCUGGCUCCAGGCCUCGGUUUCCAUACUCCAGCACACAGGGUUGGGUCAAAGGUCAUGAAAAGGAGUCAGUUCUGGCCUUGCUUGGAAGGUGUCCUGCUUUCUGCCUGGUCUGAUGGGGGUCCCUCAGGCAGAGUGGGCCUGACGGCCAUCAUGGCCGACACUUUCCCGAUUAGCCACAUUUUUCUCUGCCCGGCUGGCUGCCCCUCCUGCCUUACCAUGUGGCCCUGUGGCUGACAUAGGUAAGGGAGACUGGCAGCCCCUCUGCCAGAGCUAGUGCUGUGCAGAUGAUUGCUCCUGCUCAGGUGUCCUCUUCUGGCCACAAGGUCUGCGUGCCUAAGUGCCAACCAGACAAAGAGCUAGGGGAGACUAUAGGUCCCCCAAGACCCAGUUGCUGCCCAGGUGAGAAGCCCAGGUGAGAGGCCCAGGUGAGAGGCCUAGAGGGGCUGGCUCCAAGGCUGGAUCUUCAGCUCCUCCCAGGGUUUACUCUUACCCCACCUUCCUGGGCUUUCUGCUUUAGGGUUAGGGGCCAGACUGUGGCCCAGGGCUUUUCUGCGGAAGCUAUGGAUGCUGCUAAGUGGUGUCUCGCAGUGGCUGGUCUCCCAGACCUGACAGCUCUUCGCUUGGGGAAUAAUUAAUUCCAUAGCCUGAAAACCCAGGGCUGCAAGUUGCCACGUUACUUUCAAGAUUAAUACAUGCAGCUAAUUAAGAUACAGAGGCAAUGAGCGGCUUGGAGCUCCUAGAACCAAGCAGCGGCCAUGGGAACGGAGAAAGGAGCCAGCCGAGCCUGUAGGCAAGUUAGCUGGGAGACACUGCCAGGUCAGAGGUCAGCCAACAAGGAUCACAGAAGGGGUAGAGUGCAGAGGUCCCAUUCUGGUCCCCAUUCUUAGCAAGAUAGGCUGCUGCUCUUCGCAAAGUACCCCAUUUAUCGUCACAGCCAAGCCACCAGAGAGGGCCUCCUGUUCCCAUUUUACAGAGGAGGAAACUGAAGCUGGGGAAGGGGUGGGGGACAGUGAAGGUGUAGGCAGGGUUGGGGUAGGAGCUGCGGUAGUACUUCAUGGACUUGUGAGUGCAGGAAGCCCUGGGUUGGAUUUUCAACCACGUAUUCCAGAUAUACAGAUUUCUGUGUAUAUACCAGACAUAGUAGCUGAUGCCAGUAAUUUUAUCACUCUGGGAGGUGGAGGCAGGAGGAUCAGAAGUUCAAGGUCAUCUUCUAUUAUGUAAAGAAUUCUAAACCAACCCUGGCUCAAAAUAAACGAAGACUAAAUCUGAGUCUCUCUGAACUGGAAGGCAGGCCACCAAGAUGGGGGGGUUAAGGUUACAACUUGGCUACACCUCCUGGCCACACCUACUUCCUGAAAGCAAGGAGGAGCACUCUGGAGCCUCUAUUACCUCAGCCUCAACUGCUCCACGCCCAGCAGGCUUGGCUGCAAACUUGAGAGGCCGCACUCCGGCAGCCCCGCGUGGGAACCCGGCAGUGGGAGAUGAGGCAUCUCAGGGGUGCUCAUGUAGCCCAGACUAGCCUUGAAUCAGUAUGUACCUAAAGGAGAAGGACCGUGAGUUCUUGAUCCUUCUGCCUCAGGAUCCUGGGGUACAGUGCCUCCCUCUGCCAAGUUCCAGGUUCUCAGGUCUAGCAACUGUGCCUGAAGAAAUCACCCUGCCCUCUCCAGGAGACUUACUCAGAUAAGCAGCUGUCUGAUUACUAACAUCAGGAAUGCCACACCUGCAGUUCCAUCACCGAGCUCUGGCUCAUAGCAGGUGUGUCGAGGGACAUUUUUUCAGUAUUGGGGACUGACUAUUAGCCUCUUGCAUGCUAGGCAAGUGCUCUCCCAUUAAACCACAUCCCCAGCUCA